This 76-nucleotide non-coding RNA is filed under the name unclassified sequences. Its description in RNAcentral is "S15-Methanomicrobia ribosomal protein leader". It matches the Rfam family "S15-Methanomicrobia ribosomal protein leader". The record is from RNAcentral.
AGCACUUUUAACAAUGUGCUGACAGAUGUAAGUCCGACGUGCGACACCGCACUGCCAAAGAUGGCUUUGGGAUUAC